RNAcentral lists this ribosomal RNA (446 nucleotides) under uncultured bacterium. RNAcentral describes it as "bacterial SSU rRNA". It matches the Rfam family "Bacterial small subunit ribosomal RNA", at positions 330 to 793 of the family's 1533-position model. The record is from RNAcentral.
GCCAGACUCCUACGGGAGGCAGCAGUGGGGGAUAUUGCACAAUGGGGGAAACCCUGAUGCAGCGACGCCGCGUGAAGGAAGAAGUAUCUCGGUAUGUAAACUUCUAUCAGCAGGGAAGAAAAUGACGGUACCUGACCAAGAAGCCCCGGCUAACUACGUGCCAGCAGCCGCGGUAAUACGUAGGGGGCAAGCGUUAUCCGGAUUUACUGGGUGUAAAGGGAGCGUAGGCGGCGACGCAAGUCAGAAGUGAAAGCCCGGGGCUCAACUCCGGGACUGCUUUUGAAACUGCGUUGCUAGAUUGAGGGAGAGGCAAGUGGAAUUCCUAGUGUAGCGGUGAAAUGCGUAGAUAUUAGGAGGAACACCAGUGGCGAAGGCGGCUUACUGGACCGUGAAUGACGCUGAGGCUCGAAAGCGUGGGGAGCAAACAGGAUUAGAUACCCUAGUAU